AGAAGCCAUCAGGACACAUGGACAUGAACUAAAGCAGGUGCAGCUGCACCUAAGGCUUUCCUGCAAAAAUAAUGGUGAUGGAAAUCCGAGGUCUGGCAGCAACUUGGCGAGGAUUUGCAGACUGGUGCCUUCCCAGAGGCUCCACACAGAGCUCUCCUGUGGCAGAAGAGAGUUUGGAAGCAGUGAUUCUUCAAGUGUGACUUUUAGAACAACAAAGACAAUUGCCAGCAAAGACCUAAUGAUCAAAAUAAAUCUCCUGAAAGUGUAA
Long non-coding RNA from Mastomys coucha (southern multimammate mouse), 268 nucleotides. RefSeq lists it as uncharacterized. The transcript is spliced from 2 exons. The record is from RefSeq and is a predicted model, not a curated record. NCBI's taxonomy places the organism in Eukaryota, Metazoa, Chordata, Mammalia, Rodentia, Muridae.